GACGAACGCUGGCGGCGUGCUUAACACAUGCAAGUCGAACGGAAAGGCCCCCUUGUGGGGUACUCGAGUGGCGAACGGGUGAGUAACACGUGAGUAACCUACCCUUGACUUUGGGAUAACUUCAGGAAACUGGGGCUAAUACCGGAUAGGAGCUCCUGCUGCAUGGUGGGGGUUGGAAAGUUUCGGCGGUUGGGGAUGGACUCGCGGCUUAUCAGCUUGUUGGUGGGGUAGUGGCUCACCAAGGCUUUGACGGGUAGCCGGCCUGAGAGGGUGACCGGCCACAUUGGGACUGAGAUACGGCCCAGACUCCUACGGGAGGCAGCAGUGGGGAAUAUUGCACAAUGGGCGGAAGCCUGAUGCAGCAACGCCGCGUGCGGGAUGACGGCCUUCGGGUUGUAAACCGCUUUCGCCUGUGACGAAGCGUGAGCGACGGUAAUGGGUAAAGAAGCACCGGCUAACUACGU
Molecule: ribosomal RNA, 464 nt
Filed under: uncultured bacterium
Lineage: Bacteria
Description: partial 16S ribosomal RNA
Rfam family: Bacterial small subunit ribosomal RNA
Source: RNAcentral